CUUUUGUUCGGUUAGGACUUAGUUGAAUUUUCGUGUCGGGGCGAAGCGUCUGCCUCUGUAUUUUCUAAGUGUCAAGUUCUCGUUCAGUGCUUUUCGUUCCAUCAUGUGUGAUCCUGAUUGAAAUAAUACAGUCAGGUGUCUCGUCAGUUAUCUCGUCAGUUUGUGGAAAAGAAAUGCAUCGAAGACCACGCGUGAACAAUCUACGCAGCAAACAAAAACCCGGCUGGACCCACCGACAAUGUGUGUGUACGCGAAACAAUGUGUUCGACGGGAUGCCUCUAUACCGCCACCAACGCAGCAUAGCGCCAGGAAUGCACGAAUAGGUAGGGAAGUGAAACCGUGAAAUAGACGAGUGAGCGAAAGAGACGAAAAAAAAAACCGAAAAUAAACCGAAAAUCGA
Anopheles cruzii is the source of this 400-nucleotide long non-coding RNA. RefSeq lists it as uncharacterized. NCBI's taxonomy places the organism in Eukaryota, Metazoa, Arthropoda, Insecta, Diptera, Culicidae. The record is from RefSeq and is a predicted model, not a curated record. The transcript is spliced from 3 exons.